AUACAAGGAAAAAAUAUUUUACAGUGACGAUGGUAAGGCACUGAACAGGUUGUCCAGAGAUGUGAUUUAUGCCCCAUUGAUGGAGGCUUUCAAGGUGAGGCUGGAUUAGGCCCUGGGCAACCUGAUCUAGCUGUGAUGUCCCUGUUCAAUGUUCAAAGCCCUCAGAGGUCCCUUCCAACUCUAAGAUUCUAUGAUUUUGAGAAACCAUAAAAUCUGAAGUGCUUUUUAACCUGCAAACUGCAUUUUAUACCUGAAGUCUGUUUUCUAAACCUCGCAUAUAUGAAGGUAAACUGAACCACUCAUUUUAUUGCCCUCCUUCUGUCCAGGCUGCUCACAUUAGAACUGUUGAGAUAUUACUGUACAGAAAUGUUUAGGACAUUUCCUGUAAUUUCAUACUUGAGAAACCAGCUUGUCUUAACAGUUAUUUCUUCCCUUUGAACUGUAAAAUAAGAACUUCUUGGUGUAAUAACAGAAACUGUAAAUGUGACAAAUCUCCUUUGGUUAAAUAUAUAUAUAUAUAUAUAAUAUAUAUAUAUAUAUAUAUAUUGCCUCAGAAAGACAAGCUAUUGCAAGCUUGCUGUGUCCUUGCUGUCCUAAGAAGCUCCCUCCCUUUUUUGACAUGCUUCUGUAACCACAUGAUAUUCACCUUUAUUUUAAAUUUUGAAUAUGGUAAAGCUAAUUAGAAGGUUGUAUAAGAGGGGAACCUGAUUAUGUUUUAAACAAAGCUGAUUUCAGUCGUCCCUGUUUGUUUUCCUAUUGAUUUCAUUAUCCAAUCAUAUUUGUUUUCCAUGCCAACAUGCUAACGAGGAUGAGGAUGUGUAUGUCUGGCUGGUCCAACCAGCAUGACUUGUGGUGAAAUGGGGUAAAGGCCUCCAGAUCCAAAGUCACCAUCAUAUUUUGUGGGUUCUUCUGGCCAAGUAACCAUGUGGUCACAUCAGAUGUCCCUUUUGUACCCUUCAGGUCUGUGGUGUUUGGCUGCAAUACAUUUUUAGAAAUGGGGAAAGCGAUGAAGAUUACAGGAGUGGGAAUUGGCCUACCAGACAGCAGCUGUCCUUCCAUCCUCCAUCUCCUGCAGGCUGAUCUUUCUGUCUCUCUCUGCAGUUUACAGCUGCCUUCACCUCAUCUGUUGCCCCCAGCAACCACACCUACCUUCAUGUGGGAUUAGUGUUGCAGGUGAUUUGUUGAGAUGUCCCCUUGCUAAGAGAAGGUACUGCACUGAGGAAACCUCCAGGGUGGAAUACAGUGAAUAUGCAAAGAAUCUGUUCCAUGAUGGUUCCCUAGGCAUCAUGCUCUACAACCUUGGAUGCUGGGAGCUUGAUGUGCCUCUCUUACCCCCCAUAGGAACUCCUACUAGUUGAGAUUUGCACAUCUGAUUAUAGUGAGCACUUCCCCAGGAAACUCAAAAUCACUAUAAAGUUAGUUCUUCAUUUAACACAUUGCGGCUGUGUUAUUCACAUUUUUGGAACUCGCACGUGCUCUGCAGACAGUAUAUUUACCACUGGCAAUCCAAAAGAAUCUGCAGUCUGUUGCUUCAGUAAACAGCACAACUCGUCCAUCCGGCCCUCAGAGUUGUCUUGGAACGCGACCAAAUGCCUUCGAGUGGGGGGGGAGGAAAGGGGGGUCGUCACUGAGCGCUGCUGCCACCUGCUGGAAGAAUCGUGGUACUAUAGGCGCCGUGUACAACAGAGGGCUCAGUGCUGCCGCCUGCUGGGGAAGAGGCGAUGUAGAUACUGAUCCACGCAUGAAUAGCAGCGCAGAGACUCGCGCCCCGCUCCCCCAUAUAUGUGUGAACAGAGAGGCACCUGCAGUACCGCAUUUCAUCCAACAGACGGCAGCAGCGAGCACCUUGGAACUGGUGCGCAUGUGCAGCGCUGGGGCGGUCUUAAGGAAAUUUGCCUCUCCCACGGUGGAGCACUUGGGGCAUGCCGAAGAUGUUGGGGUACAUCGUUGAGCAUCCAGCUCUGCAGCCAGGGGCCUGGGCUGGCCAGCUGGGCACUUGGGAGAGCUUCUGGCUUGCACUGUGCUAUACGUAUGGAUGCUUGACCUCUCCUGGCUUCUCCUGGCAUAGCCUGUGCCGUUCCAUUCCAUGUGUCUGUGUCCCAUAGCUGGGCAUUGCGCUGCAGCCACUCCAGGUUCCUGCGCAGCUCCCUGGCAGUGAAACACAGCAAACUCCUUGCCCACGUCCCCAUGUGGAGCAUGUCCAAGUGUCCCUGCUGGAUGAGGAGCAGCAGCGAGAGCACCGGGGUGUGCAGUGUGCUGGGCUGUGCAGGAGUCCUCAGGAAGAAGGAAUGUGAGGGAGGAAGGCACUGUGGGGGGAGUUUUGUCCUUCACAGCAGCAAAGCCAGUCUCAGCCUGGUAUCUAUGAUGUCUGCUGGGCAGGGAAGGGAUGCAAAGUGGAAGAAAUAAAAUUAAAAUGACAAGGAGCUUGGAGGAGGUCGGCCUAGGGAAAAAUAGAUGCACUUCUUGCAAAUGGGAUGGGAAAUCUCAGUGUUGCAGAGAGACUGAAAAAACCAGAGUGAAGCCAAAUGUACAUCCCAGAGUGCCUGGGGAUGCUGAGCAACUGGUGGGUAAAUAACCAUUUUCUUCCUUGACAUGAGACGAAGCCUGGCCUUGGAGGUGCCCCCAGACCCCUUGUGCUUUGUCCUUUUCCCUGAGUCAUUCCUGCUCUUGCAGCUGUUGCUUCCUACCAAGAAAAGUUCAGUGUGGCUGUUUAUCACUUGCUUCAUUGCGUUUGUAUGCAUGGCA
Meleagris gallopavo (turkey) is the source of this 2745-nucleotide non-coding RNA. The record is from RefSeq and is a predicted model, not a curated record. Lineage: Eukaryota; Metazoa; Chordata; Aves; Galliformes; Phasianidae.